AGAGCUGGUCAAGACAAUCGCCGCCUUGUUACCUUUUGGUUUUCAAGGGGGAGGAAAGUCCGGGCUCCAAAGGGCAGGGUGCCAGAUAACGUCUGGGCGGCGCGAGCCGACGACAAGUGCAGCAGAGAGAAGACCGCCUAAGCGCGUAAGCGCCGGUAAGGGUGAAAGGGUGCGGUAAGAGCGCACCGGGCCACUGGUAACAGUUGGUUGCAAGGUAAACUCCACCCGGAGCAAGACCAAAUAGGGUUCCUUAUGGUGCGGCCCGCAUCGGAACCGGGUAGGUUGCUUGAGCCAGUGAGCGAUUGCUGGCCUAGAUGAAUGAUUGUUAAUCUCUUUGAGAAAUACAGAACCCGGCUUAAUGACCAGCUCUAACU
This is a non-coding RNA of Aliiglaciecola lipolytica E3, 374 nucleotides long. It matches the Rfam family "Bacterial RNase P class A". Rfam says of the family: Ribonuclease P (RNase P) is a ubiquitous endoribonuclease, found in archaea, bacteria and eukarya as well as chloroplasts and mitochondria. Its best characterised activity is the generation of mature 5'-ends of tRNAs by cleaving the 5'-leader elements of precursor-tRNAs. The record is from Rfam. NCBI's taxonomy places the organism in Bacteria, Pseudomonadati, Pseudomonadota, Gammaproteobacteria, Alteromonadales, Alteromonadaceae.